Molecule: transfer RNA, 75 nt
Filed under: Caudoviricetes sp.
Lineage: Duplodnaviria; Heunggongvirae; Uroviricota; Caudoviricetes
Also listed under: 1 other name
Description: tRNA-Met
Rfam family: tRNA
About the family: Transfer RNA (tRNA) molecules are approximately 80 nucleotides in length.
Source: RNAcentral
GGACUUAUAGCUCAGUUGGUUAGAGCGGCAGACUCAUAAUCUGAAGGUCGUGGGUUCGAUCCCCAUCUAAGUCCA